RNAcentral lists this long non-coding RNA (347 nucleotides) under Jatropha curcas. RNAcentral describes it as "long non-coding RNA (JCUR_LNC003550)". Lineage: Eukaryota; Viridiplantae; Streptophyta; Magnoliopsida; Malpighiales; Euphorbiaceae. The record is from RNAcentral.
UAAGUGCUGUAAUUCAUAGUAAAUUCAAGAAUGAAGGUCAACUAGAGGCUAUAAUUUAGGCUAGCAUUUUGUGUCAAAAGUUGAAAUAUUAUUAUUUAGGCCUAGUCCAUAUGAAAAAUUGGAAAAUGAAUGCUAUCCAUUUGUUAAACAAGCAAUAUGGCAUGAUGUGGAGAUACAUGAAUUGACAAGAAGUAGGCUGCUUGAAUUAACACGGAACGAACUACUAAAUAACUAUUAUGUCUUUAACUCUACGCAAAGCACAACAUACUCAAUUUGUAGCUUUCUCUAUUCUUUAUUUUAUCUAUUUUCAUAUAUGAAAAAUUUAGCCUCAGACUUCUUAAAAAAUU